GUUAAUUCGAAGCAACGCGAAGAACCUUACCAGGUCUUGACAUCCCGAUGCUAUUUCUAGAGAUAGAAAGUUACUUCGGUACAUCGGUGACAGGUGGUGCAUGGUUGUCGUCAGCUCGUGUCGUGAGAUGUUGGGUUAAGUCCCGCAACGAGCGCAACCCCUAUUGUUAGUUGCCAUCAUUCAGUUGGGCACUCUAGCGAGACUGCCGGUAAUAAACCGGAGGAAGUGGGGAUGACGUCAAAUCAUCAUGCCCCUUAUGACCUGGGCUACACACGUGCUACAAUGGUUGGUACAACGAGUUGCGAGUCGGUGACGGCGAGCUAAUCUCUUAAAGCCAAUCUCAGUUCGGAUUGUAGGCUGCAACUCGCCUACAUGAAGUCGGAAUCGCUAGUAAUCGCGGAUCAGCACGCCGCGGUGAAUACGUUCCCGGGCCUU
Molecule: ribosomal RNA, 435 nt
Filed under: uncultured Streptococcus sp.
Lineage: Bacteria; Bacillati; Bacillota; Bacilli; Lactobacillales; Streptococcaceae
Description: bacterial SSU rRNA
Rfam family: Bacterial small subunit ribosomal RNA
Source: RNAcentral